UACGGGGGGGGCAAGCGUUGUUCGGAAUUACUGGGCGUAAAGGGCCAGUAGGCGGCCAACUAAGUCGGAUGUGAAAUCCCCAGGCUUAACCUGGGAACUGCAUCCGAUACUGGAUGGCUUGAAUUCGGGAGAGGGAUGCAGAAUUCCAGGUGUAGCGGUGAAAUGCGUAGAUAUCUGGAGGAAUACCGGUGGCGAAGGUGGCAUCCUGGACCGACAUUGACGCUGAACGGCGAAAGCUAGGGGAGCAAACGGG
Molecule: ribosomal RNA, 253 nt
Filed under: uncultured bacterium
Lineage: Bacteria
Description: partial 16S ribosomal RNA
Rfam family: Bacterial small subunit ribosomal RNA
Source: RNAcentral